UACAGAGGGUGCGAGCGUUGUCCGGAAUCACUGGGCGUAAAGGGCGCGUAGGCGGCCUGAUGAGUAGGGGGUGAAAUCCUGCGGCUUAACCGCAGGGCUGCCUUCUAAACUGUCAGGCUCGAGCACAGUAGAGGCAGGUGGAAUUCCCGGUGUAGCGGUGGAAUGCGUAGAGAUCGGGAAGAACAUCAGUGGCGAAGGCGGCCUGCUGGGCUGUUGCUGACGCUGAGGCGCGACAGCGUGGGGAGCAAACAGG
This 253-nucleotide ribosomal RNA is filed under the name uncultured bacterium. Its description in RNAcentral is "partial 16S ribosomal RNA". It matches the Rfam family "Bacterial small subunit ribosomal RNA", at positions 524 to 776 of the family's 1533-position model. The record is from RNAcentral.